This 600-nucleotide ribosomal RNA is filed under the name Leptoteleia sp. OSUC 570554. RNAcentral describes it as "SSU rRNA". It matches the Rfam family "Eukaryotic small subunit ribosomal RNA", at positions 416 to 948 of the family's 1831-position model. Lineage: Eukaryota; Metazoa; Arthropoda; Insecta; Hymenoptera; Scelionidae. The record is from RNAcentral.
CCAAGGAAGCAGCAGGCGCGCAAAUUACCCACUCCCGGCACGGGGAGGUAGUGACGAAAAAUAACGAUACGGGACUCAUCCGAGGCCCCGUAAUCGGAAUGAGUACACUUUAAAUCCUUUAACGAGGAUCCAUUGGAGGGCAAGUCUAGUGCCAGCAGCCGCGGUAAUUCUAGCUCCAAUAGCGUAUAUUAAAGUUGUUGCGGUUAAAAAGCUCGUAGUUGAAUCUGUGUGUCGCGCUGUCGGUUCACCGUUCGCCGGUGUUUAACUGACAUACCGCGACACGUCCUACCGGUGGACUUAGCCUACGACCAUCGUUCUCGAAAGAGGCGUUGGCACGGGGCGGUCCUGAUACAAUCCCAUCGCGGUGCUCUUUACCGAGUGUCGAGGUGGGCCGGUACGUUUACUUUGAACAAAUUAGAGUGCUUAAAGCAGGCUAUUUUUGCCUGAAUACUGUGUGCAUGGAAUAAUGGAAUAGGACCUCGGUUCUAUUUUGUUGGUUUUCGGAACACCGAGGUAAUGAUUAAUAGGGACAGAUGGGGGCAUUCGUAUUGCGACGUUAGAGGUGAAAUUCUUGGAUCGUCGCAAGACGGACAGAAGCGA